Molecule: ribosomal RNA, 266 nt
Filed under: uncultured Staphylococcus sp.
Lineage: Bacteria; Bacillati; Bacillota; Bacilli; Caryophanales; Staphylococcaceae
Description: partial 16S ribosomal RNA
Rfam family: Bacterial small subunit ribosomal RNA
Source: RNAcentral
CGGCGGACGGGUGAGUAACACGUGGAUAACCUACCUAUAAGACUGGGAUAACUUCGGGAAACCGGAGCUAAUACCGGAUAAUAUAUUGAACCGCAUGGUUCAAUAGUGAAAGACGGUUUUGCUGUCACUUAUAGAUGGAUCCGCGCCGCAUUAGCUAGUUGGUAAGGUAACGGCUUACCAAGGCAACGAUGCGUGGCCGACCUGAGAGGGUGAUCGGCCACACUGGAACUGAGACACGGUCCAGACUCCUACGGGAGGCAGCAGCC